RNAcentral lists this ribosomal RNA (2802 nucleotides) under Escherichia coli. Its description in RNAcentral is "partial 23S ribosomal RNA". It matches the Rfam family "Bacterial large subunit ribosomal RNA". Lineage: Bacteria; Pseudomonadati; Pseudomonadota; Gammaproteobacteria; Enterobacterales; Enterobacteriaceae. The record is from RNAcentral.
GGGUUGUGAGGUUAAGCGACUAAGCGUACACGGUGGAUGCCCUGGCAGUCAGAGGCGAUGAAGGACGUGCUAAUCUGCGAUAAGCGUCGGUAAGGUGAUAUGAACCGUUAUAACCGGCGAUUUCCGAAUGGGGAAACCCAGUGUGUUUCGACACACUAUCAUUAACUGAAUCCAUAGGUUAAUGAGGCGAACCGGGGGAACUGAAACAUCUAAGUACCCCGAGGAAAAGAAAUCAACCGAGAUUCCCCCAGUAGCGGCGAGCGAACGGGGAGCAGCCCAGAGCCUGAAUCAGUGUGUGUGUUAGUGGAAGCGUCUGGAAAGGCGCGCGAUACAGGGUGACAGCCCCGUACACAAAAAUGCACAUGCUGUGAGCUCGAUGAGUAGGGCGGGACACGUGGUAUCCUGUCUGAAUAUGGGGGGACCAUCCUCCAAGGCUAAAUACUCCUGACUGACCGAUAGUGAACCAGUACCGUGAGGGAAAGGCGAAAAGAACCCCGGCGAGGGGAGUGAAAAAGAACCUGAAACCGUGUACGUACAAGCAGUGGGAGCACGCUUAGGCGUGUGACUGCGUACCUUUUGUAUAAUGGGUCAGCGACUUAUAUUCUGUAGCAAGGUUAACCGAAUAGGGGAGCCGAAGGGAAACCGAGUCUUAACUGGGCGUUAAGUUGCAGGGUAUAGACCCGAAACCCGGUGAUCUAGCCAUGGGCAGGUUGAAGGUUGGGUAACACUAACUGGAGGACCGAACCGACUAAUGUUGAAAAAUUAGCGGAUGACUUGUGGCUGGGGGUGAAAGGCCAAUCAAACCGGGAGAUAGCUGGUUCUCCCCGAAAGCUAUUUAGGUAGCGCCUCGUGAAUUCAUCUCCGGGGGUAGAGCACUGUUUCGGCAAGGGGGUCAUCCCGACUUACCAACCCGAUGCAAACUGCGAAUACCGGAGAAUGUUAUCACGGGAGACACACGGCGGGUGCUAACGUCCGUCGUGAAGAGGGAAACAACCCAGACCGCCAGCUAAGGUCCCAAAGUCAUGGUUAAGUGGGAAACGAUGUGGGAAGGCCCAGACAGCCAGGAUGUUGGCUUAGAAGCAGCCAUCAUUUAAAGAAAGCGUAAUAGCUCACUGGUCGAGUCGGCCUGCGCGGAAGAUGUAACGGGGCUAAACCAUGCACCGAAGCUGCGGCAGCGACGCUUAUGCGUUGUUGGGUAGGGGAGCGUUCUGUAAGCCUGCGAAGGUGUGCUGUGAGGCAUGCUGGAGGUAUCAGAAGUGCGAAUGCUGACAUAAGUAACGAUAAAGCGGGUGAAAAGCCCGCUCGCCGGAAGACCAAGGGUUCCUGUCCAACGUUAAUCGGGGCAGGGUGAGUCGACCCCUAAGGCGAGGCCGAAAGGCGUAGUCGAUGGGAAACAGGUUAAUAUUCCUGUACUUGGUGUUACUGCGAAGGGGGGACGGAGAAGGCUAUGUUGGCCGGGCGACGGUUGUCCCGGUUUAAGCGUGUAGGCUGGUUUUCCAGGCAAAUCCGGAAAAUCAAGGCUGAGGCGUGAUGACGAGGCACUACGGUGCUGAAGCAACAAAUGCCCUGCUUCCAGGAAAAGCCUCUAAGCAUCAGGUAACAUCAAAUCGUACCCCAAACCGACACAGGUGGUCAGGUAGAGAAUACCAAGGCGCUUGAGAGAACUCGGGUGAAGGAACUAGGCAAAAUGGUGCCGUAACUUCGGGAGAAGGCACGCUGAUAUGUAGGUGAGGUCCCUCGCGGAUGGAGCUGAAAUCAGUCGAAGAUACCAGCUGGCUGCAACUGUUUAUUAAAAACACAGCACUGUGCAAACACGAAAGUGGACGUAUACGGUGUGACGCCUGCCCGGUGCCGGAAGGUUAAUUGAUGGGGUUAGCGCAAGCGAAGCUCUUGAUCGAAGCCCCGGUAAACGGCGGCCGUAACUAUAACGGUCCUAAGGUAGCGAAAUUCCUUGUCGGGUAAGUUCCGACCUGCACGAAUGGCGUAAUGAUGGCCAGGCUGUCUCCACCCGAGACUCAGUGAAAUUGAACUCGCUGUGAAGAUGCAGUGUACCCGCGGCAAGACGGAAAGACCCCGUGAACCUUUACUAUAGCUUGACACUGAACAUUGAGCCUUGAUGUGUAGGAUAGGUGGGAGGCUUGGAAGUGUGGACGCCAGUCUGCAUGGAGCCGACCUUGAAAUACCACCCUUUAAUGUUUGAUGUUCUAACGUUGACCCGUAAUCCGGGUUGCGGACAGUGUCUGGUGGGUAGUUUGACUGGGGCGGUCUCCUCCUAAAGAGUAACGGAGGAGCACGAAGGUUGGCUAAUCCUGGUCGGACAUCAGGAGGUUAGUGCAAUGGCAUAAGCCAGCUUGACUGCGAGCGUGACGGCGCGAGCAGGUGCGAAAGCAGGUCAUAGUGAUCCGGUGGUUCUGAAUGGAAGGGCCAUCGCUCAACGGAUAAAAGGUACUCCGGGGAUAACAGGCUGAUACCGCCCAAGAGUUCAUAUCGACGGCGGUGUUUGGCACCUCGAUGUCGGCUCAUCACAUCCUGGGGCUGAAGUAGGUCCCAAGGGUAUGGCUGUUCGCCAUUUAAAGUGGUACGCGAGCUGGGUUUAGAACGUCGUGAGACAGUUCGGUCCCUAUCUGCCGUGGGCGCUGGAGAACUGAGGGGGGCUGCUCCUAGUACGAGAGGACCGGAGUGGACGCAUCACUGGUGUUCGGGUUGUCAUGCCAAUGGCACUGCCCGGUAGCUAAAUGCGGAAGAGAUAAGUGCUGAAAGCAUCUAAGCACGAAACUUGCCCCGAGAUGAGUUCUCCCUGAC